RNAcentral lists this ribosomal RNA (465 nucleotides) under Vreelandella stevensii. RNAcentral's name for it is "partial 16S ribosomal RNA". It matches the Rfam family "Bacterial small subunit ribosomal RNA", at positions 338 to 795 of the family's 1533-position model. The record is from RNAcentral. Lineage: Bacteria; Pseudomonadati; Pseudomonadota; Gammaproteobacteria; Oceanospirillales; Halomonadaceae.
CCUACGGGAGGCUGCAGUGGGGAAUAUUGGACAAUGGGCGAAAGCCUGAUCCAGCCAUGCCGCGUGUGUGAAGAAGGCCUUCGGGUUGUAAAGCACUUUCAGUGGGGAAGAAAGCCUUGGGGCUAAUACCCUCGAGGAAGGACAUCACCCACAGAAGAAGCACCGGCUAACUCCGUGCCAGCAGCCGCGGUAAUACGGAGGGUGCGAGCGUUAAUCGGAAUUACUGGGCGUAAAGCGCGCGUAGGCGGUCUGAUAAGCCGGUUGUGAAAGCCCCGGGCUCAACCUGGGAACGGCAUCCGGAACUGUCAGGCUAGAGUGCAGGAGAAGAAGGUAGAAUUCCCGGUGUAGCGGUGAAAUGCGUAGAGAUCGGGAGGAAUACCAGUGGCGAAGGCGGCCUUCUGGACUGACACUGACGCUGAGGUGCGAAAGCGUGGGUAGCAAACAGGAUUAGAUACCCGAGUAGUC